Molecule: non-coding RNA, 293 nt
Organism: Otolemur garnettii (small-eared galago)
Lineage: Eukaryota; Metazoa; Chordata; Mammalia; Primates; Galagidae
Source: Rfam
ACUGGGUGUGGUGGCAAGUGUGUGUUGUCCCAGCUACUGGGGAGACUGAAGUGGAAGGGUCACUUGAGCCUAGGACUCCUGGCUGUAGUGCACUGUGCUCAUUGGGUGUGUACAUCCAAAGUGGGCAUUGAUAUGGUGACCUCCUGGGAGCAGGGGCCCACCAGGUUGCAUAGGAGAGGGGUAAACCAGCCUGGAAAUAUUGCAGGUCAAAACUUCCAUGCAGAUGAGUAGUGGGAUUGCACCUGUAAAUAGCCACUCCCUAGCCUGGGCAACAUAGCAAGACUCCGUCUCUG